GACGAACCGUGCAAACGUUAUUCGGAAUCAUUGGGCUUAAAGGGCGCGUAGGCGGCGGUGUAAGUUGGAAGUGAAAUCCCAUCGGCUCAACCGUGGAAUUGCUCCCAGUACUGCAUCGCUCGAGGGGGAUAGGGGUCUGCGGAACUACCGGUGGAGCGGUGAAAUGUGUUGAUAUCGGUGGGAACGCCAGUGGCGAAAGCGGCGGACUUGACCCUUCCUGACGCUGAGGCGCGAAAGCUAGGGGAGCAAACGGG
This 254-nucleotide ribosomal RNA is filed under the name uncultured bacterium. RNAcentral's name for it is "partial 16S ribosomal RNA". It matches the Rfam family "Bacterial small subunit ribosomal RNA", at positions 524 to 776 of the family's 1533-position model. The record is from RNAcentral.